Molecule: non-coding RNA, 568 nt
Organism: Pelobates cultripes (western spadefoot toad)
Lineage: Eukaryota; Metazoa; Chordata; Amphibia; Anura; Pelobatidae
Source: the annotation of a GenBank genome assembly
CCCUGACUGUGCCUCAACAAAACUGGAAUGUGAUGUCAUUUUGUUAAAUCUUUAAAGGGACACUAGAGUCACUCAAACAACGUAAACUUAAUGAAGCAUUUUUUGUGUAUAGAUCAUUAAGCCCAAUAAAUUUAAGACAUGUUAUAGGUGAUUUUAAAUAUUUUGUUGAAAUUUUGACGUUGUUUUACUGUUACUACUUGUGACACUGUACAUUAAGAGGUCAGUAACAAAAAGAAAAUGCCUGAAGCAAAACCCUAAAAAAAAAAACACUGAACAUGACCUGACCGAUAAAAUCUGAUGGCUUCCACAAGAAAGAGAGAUCCUUACAUCCCAUAAUACCUUUGCAGCUGGAUUCACUAUUCAGGGCUCUGAUAUUCCUGAGAAAGGCAGAAUCUUUUCUUUUUUUCUUCCAUUUCCAGAGCGAGUUGAGUUGUGAAUUAAAAAAGGUUAUAUUAAAGGGACUCUCCAGUGCCAGGAAAACAAUCUGUUUUCCUGGCACUGCAAGUCCCCUCUGCCUCCCAACCCCCAAUCCCCAGUUGCUGAAGGGGUGAAAACGCCUUCAGUAACU